This 390-nucleotide ribosomal RNA is filed under the name uncultured bacterium. RNAcentral's name for it is "bacterial SSU rRNA". It matches the Rfam family "Bacterial small subunit ribosomal RNA", at positions 30 to 420 of the family's 1533-position model. The record is from RNAcentral.
AUUGAACGCUGGCGGCAUGCCUUACACAUGCAAGUCGAACGGCAGCACGGGAGCAAUCCUGGUGGCGAGUGGCGAACGGGUGAGUAAUAUAUCGGAACGUACCUUUCAGUGGGGGAUAACGUAGCGAAAGUUACGCUAAUACCGCAUAUUCUGUGAGCAGGAAAGCAGGGGAUCGCAAGACCUUGCGCUGAUUGAGCGGCCGAUAUCAGAUUAGCUAGUUGGUGAGGUAAAGGCUCACCAAGGCGACGAUCUGUAGCGGGUCUGAGAGGAUGAUCCGCCACACUGGAACUGAGACACGGUCCAGACUCCUACGGGAGGCAGCAGUGGGGAAUUUUGGACAAUGGGCGCAAGCCUGAUCCAGCCAUGCCGCGUGAGUGAAGAAGGCCUCGG